GACGAACGCUGGCGGCGUGCUUAACACAUGCAAGUCGAACGGACCUUCGGGUUAGUGGCGAACGGGUGAGUAACACGUGGGUGAUCUGCCCUGCACUUUGGGAUAAGCCUGGGAAACUGGGUCUAAUACCGAAUAUGAUCGCUGGCUUCAUGGCUGGUGGUGGAAAGCUUUUGCGGUGUGGGAUGGGCCCGCGGCCUAUCAGCUUGUUGGUGGGGUAAUGGCCUACCAAGGCGACGACGGGUAGCCGGCCGGAGAGGGUGACCGGCCACACGGGGACUGGGAUCCGGCCCAGACGCAUACGGGAGGGAGCAGUGGGGAAUAUUGCAAAAUGGGCGAAAGCCUGAUGCAGGGGCGCCGCGGGGGGGAGGACGGCAUUGGGGUUUUAAACCUCUUUGGCCAGGGACGAAGCGAAAGGGACGGUACCUGGAGAAGAAGGACCGGCCAACUACGUGCAACCCGCCGCGGUAA
This 468-nucleotide ribosomal RNA is filed under the name uncultured bacterium. Its description in RNAcentral is "partial 16S ribosomal RNA". It matches the Rfam family "Bacterial small subunit ribosomal RNA", at positions 28 to 523 of the family's 1533-position model. The record is from RNAcentral.